UACAGAGGGGGCAAGCGUUGUUCGGAAUUACUGGGCGUAAAGGGCGCGUAGGCGGCCUGCUAAGUCGAACGUGAAAUCCCUGGGCUCAACCCAGGAACUGCGUCCGAUACUGGUUGGCUUGAAUCCGGGAGAGGGAUGUGGAAUUCCAGGUGUAGCGGUGAAAUGCGUAGAUAUCUGGAGGAACGCCGGUGGCGAAGGCGACAUCCUGGACCGGUAUUGACGCUGGGGCGCGAAAGCGUGGGUAGCAAACAGG
Molecule: ribosomal RNA, 253 nt
Filed under: uncultured bacterium
Lineage: Bacteria
Description: partial 16S ribosomal RNA
Rfam family: Bacterial small subunit ribosomal RNA
Source: RNAcentral